GACAGCUACAAAAUAGAAGAGGAGGUCUCCCAGGGCAGAGGGGCUUACUGGAGAUGUGUAUAUCACAACUGCCUAUUCACAAGCUCAGUCUGGGAGUGGAGAAAGAACUUAUUUUCUAAGUAGAAGUGGAAAGAGAGGAUUCUCGAUUAAAACCAAUAUUCCCAGGAGGAAGAAACAUUCCAGAGAGAGAAGUCCUUUGCACAUUUCUUCUCUCCCACACCUUUGUGUUUCCAUGAGCUCAUAUUUCAUUUUGAUCAACCCAGAGAAAAGUGCUGUAGGUAAUUUUGAGGGUGGGGUCAAAUCACUGAAUGGCAACUCUGUCCCUUAUCCUUUGCACAGCCGCUGCUUCUGUCAAAGAAUGUCCUCUAAGCUUGGGAGGCAAAGAGUAUAAAGCAAAGCACAGACCACCCCAAGCCCAUGUAAAGUUCAGAGAACAAGCCCAGGUAAAUCACCACCACCACCGUCACAAAGGAUAGGAAUAUUGUUCUCGCUGGCUGGGAGACACUAUUCCAAGUGCUUUCCAUACUUCAGUAUAUAUACUGGCACAGGAAACAUCUCUCAGAGGGUGUCCUACUAAACGAUACUGCUCAGAGCAAAAUGAUCAUCGCACCCACCAAGGAUCUGGUAGUUCCUGUGUGCCAGGCACUGGACUGGGUACCUCAUGUGUAUUAAUUAUUCCAUCUUCAUGAUGACCUUGCAAAUUGUCAAAAAUCACCAUUAAAAAAAAAAAAAAAGAGGUGCAGAGAAAUGAAGUAAAUUGCUCAAGGUCACUUCAAACAAGUGGAGCUAGGACUCCAAUUGAGGUAUGCCGAGGCCAAAGCAUGACCGCCAUAUUGCCUCUCUCGUUUAGGAUUACGGUGAAUAUGGUGCAGGCAAAACAUCCGGGCGGCCCACAGGCUUUACCUCAGCGGGUCUAGCAUGAGCUCACGUCAGGAAACUAUUAUCCACAUAAACAUUGGGGGUUCUUCCUCCUUCCCUCCCAUCCUUAGUCCCAACCCACAUCAAAGUAGGAAAACAGAAAGGGUCCCCUUGGUAAAAUGGGGUGGGAGGAGAGGAAGAGAUGGGGAUGCCGAAGAGAGGGCGAAGGAAAAGAGAACUCUUCGAUCUAUCAGUUAGAAGAGGUGUUCUAUUUCAAUAACGGAAAGUUUGUUUAUCUUGUGGGGGUUUCCCUCUCAGACUGGAUGAAGCAGGGGCAUGGAUCUUCCUUCCCUCCUAGGUCAUUUAGGAUCUAAAGUACUUCAUGGGGACAACCAAUUGACUGAGGACCUGAAUUCAGGGCUGAGGCAAGGAAGUGGAACGCUCCAGGGAAGGUGUUAAACAUGCUCGUGGAUUCAGUGGAAGGAUUCAUAACCUGCGUCCUGAGAUCUGUAGAAGAGCAGCCAACGAGAUCAGGAUCCUGAAGUCUGAAGAGACAAGGACCCAUCAUGGUCACAUGGGCAGUUAGUGGCAGAGCUCCCACAAGGCCAAAGUCCUUGUGACCCUGACUAUGGAGAUGCUUUCCACUCUGUAAAGAAUUAACACUGCUGGACUGAGACAAAGAGAGAAGUGCUGUAGCAGGAGUCAGAGAGGCGGAGCAAUAAACUGACCCAAGGCUCGGGUGUGACCACAUCUAGAAGAAUCAGCAACGUGAUGGGGGGCUGGGACAUCACUGACCCCACCCAGAUGUUACAGAAGGCCUCCUUGUCUGUUGGGCACCCAGAUGAACAUGUCUUAGACCCUGAAGACCAUGGCCUGUGACCCUUCCAAAUGCUUGGCCCAUUUUUGAGAUUCCCCGGGUAUGCCUGUAGUUCUUCCCAUUUUUGACUCCUGUUUCUUUCUCUUUAUACCCCCUCUACCCAGUCCAGAACCACAAAUGAUACAUUCAGAGCAAGGUUUUUUUUUUUUUUUUUUUUUUAAGUUUCAUGACAUUCCUGGAGAUUUGAGGGGUUCUUUCUCCCCUUUUCUUAUUCUUAGUCCCCUUUCCCUCUCAAGAACAAAACAAGAAUCUUUCCUUGUCUGUUCCUUGGGCAGUUUUUCCUUCAUCUCUCAAGCCUUGGGAUCAGCCAACCCCUGGGCCUGGGGCCUCCACC
Long non-coding RNA from Zalophus californianus (California sea lion), 2069 nucleotides. RefSeq lists it as uncharacterized. NCBI's taxonomy places the organism in Eukaryota, Metazoa, Chordata, Mammalia, Carnivora, Otariidae. The record is from RefSeq and is a predicted model, not a curated record. The transcript has 3 exons.